Long non-coding RNA from Lathyrus oleraceus (garden pea), 241 nucleotides. RefSeq lists it as uncharacterized. The record is from RefSeq and is a predicted model, not a curated record. NCBI's taxonomy places the organism in Eukaryota, Viridiplantae, Streptophyta, Magnoliopsida, Fabales, Fabaceae. The transcript has 3 exons.
GAACCCUGUAAUUUACAUUACUGAAAAUGGUCGUGAUGAGUUCAACGAUCCAACAUUAUCUCUUGAAGAAUCUCUCUUAGAUACUUAUAGGAUUGAUUACUACUAUCGUCAUCUUUACUAUCUUGAAACUGCAAUUAGGGAUGGUGUGAAUGUAAAGGGAUAUUUUGCAUGGUCAUUGUUGGAUAACUUUGAAUGGGAUUCUGGCUUGAGCUUGAGAUUUGGACUCGUCUUCGUUGAUUUU